Molecule: non-coding RNA, 3456 nt
Organism: Rattus norvegicus (Norway rat)
Lineage: Eukaryota; Metazoa; Chordata; Mammalia; Rodentia; Muridae
Source: RefSeq, a predicted model, not a curated record
CAUCUUCUAUUGAGGCAAGACAAAGCAGCCCAGUUAGGGGAAAGGGAUUCAAAGGCAGGCAAUGUAGUCAGAGCAGCCCCUGCUCCCACUUUAGGAGCCCCAGCUUCACAACUGUUACACGUGUGUUUCUACAUAUGCCUAGGUCAGUCCCACGCAUGCUCUCGGUUAGCAGUUCAGUCUCCAUGGGCCCAGGUUAGUUGAUUCUGUAGGUUUUCCUGUGGUGUCCUUGACCCCUCUGGCCUUCAAUCCUUCCUUCUCUUCUUCCAGAGGAUUCCCCCAAGUUCCACUUAAUGUUUGGCUGCGGGUCUCUGCAUCAGUUUCCAUCAAUUGCUGUGUGAAGUCUCUCCGAUGAAGGUUAUGCUAGGCUCCUCUCUGGGACUAAAAGACAUGUCUUGAGAGAUGCUGAAGCUCUGGUCUACAAAAUGAGACCAAGACCACAUCAAACACCCUCGGCCUCUUGAUGACAGCUUUGGGACUGAAUCCCUGCAUCUUGCAGUACAGGGUGGAUUAUAUCCUUUAGACUUGAUAGUGACCUGAUUAAUCUUUGGACCCUGUGUUUUCGACUUCUCCAUUACAAUCUCAGCAGAGACUAUUAAUCUUUGGACUUCUGUGUGCUCAGCUGAUUCUUAAUUUGAUUUACUCUUGUUGGCAGUCAGUCCACAUGGAGCUGAUCCAGUGGCAAUCUAACUCUGCCCAUCUGGGGCCCCUAGGUUGUCCUUCAAUGCCCAGAGUCAGUGACAGUGGAGACCCUGAAUCUUUAGGUGUCCCUGUUUCAGCAAGGAGUUUCCAGAUUGCCUUAAGGUCCAUCUCCUGAGUCAUUUUAGGGUCUUUAGGGGACAUGUUAGAUAGGAAGACAGAUAUUGGUGGGCAUGGAUGGAGGUUUCUCUGACGUUCGGACCUUUUUACUCACAGCCUGGAGCUACUCUGCCUUCUGGCUGCUCAGUGACCUUCAUUACUGAAUCUUCGAGCUUCCUAAUUAAAAAGUAUGGUUUCCCACUCUGUCUUUUUAACUUUUUUUUUUUUUUUUUCCGGAGCUGGGGACUGAACCCAGGGCCUUGAGCUUGCUAGGCAAGCGCUCUACCACUGAGCUAAAUCCCCAACCCCUCUUUUUAACUUUUGUGUCUUCGAGAACAAACUCCUUUAUCUAGAACAUCAUUAGAAGUCAUGUUGACACCAUCCUUUCCCAGAAUUUCUGAUAGGAGAGACAGUCGUCCCUUCCACUCCCAUGUCCGUUAGGAAAGAGCUACAGGAAUGCCAACUACUCCCUUCCCCACCUCUCUGUGGGAACAAACCCCAGGACUGUUAGCCAAGGCAUUUUGUAAUGCGUCUCUAUUUGGGUUAAAUGGAGAUAAUUUACAUUUUUCAGACUAACUUGUUUCUCUAGAUUCUUGCUGUUCAUGCCUUAUUAACCCUCAGUAAUGGCCGGCCAGGAAAGAUGUUUAUCAAUCACCUAAUGCUCUUUAACUGGUCACCCCUAACAAUGUUCAACUGCUCCACCCUCACCCUGGGGAAAUUUUCUAGCUCUUUGCCAUCCCCCUUUUUAAGAAAUUGUAAGAUGUGACUGCCACUCUGCAGUCUGGAUGCUGUGAGCCCUGGCCACGCUGAUGUCCACCUGUCUUUCCAUGGCAUUAGUAACUGUUCUAAUAAGCUCUAAAAGGACAGUCUGCCCCAGAGCCUCCUUUGAAUAUGAAACCCCAAACCUUUUACUGGGGAUCAAAUCAAGAGCUUUGUACAGGCUUGGCAAGCGCGCUCUCCUGCUGAGCUACACUCCCGGCCUGCUUUUGAUCAAUUUCUUUUUUAAGAUUUAUUUUUAUUAUUUUUAACUAUGUGUGUGGUGGAGUAUAUGCACACGAACGCAAGUGCCCACAGAGGUCAAAGCUGUCAGAUGCCUCUGGUUACAGGCUGUCGUGAGCCGCUUGAUGUGGAUGCUAGGAAUUGAACUCAGGUCUUCAGGAAGAGCAAUAUAGAGCAGUAUAUGGUUUUAACCACCGACCCACCUCUUCAGCCUGCUUUUGGUCACUUUUAAAUUGGUCUGUUUUAGAUUUAAGUUUAUUGGCCAAGUAAGGUGGUUGAUGGUUACAGUAAAAGUGCUCGCCAUCAAGUCUGAUGGCCCGAGUUAGAUUCGCAGGAUCCACAUGGCGGAAGCGGAGGACCAGCUCCUGCUUGUGAUUGAUUACGUUUAUUUGCUUACUUGGCGUGUGUGUUAAUGAUGAGUGUGAGUACAGGCACACGGCUGCACUAGAUGGGGCAGGCAGUUGAUCCUCUUUCUACCACAGCUCUGGGGAUCAAACUCAGGACCUCAGGUUUGUGCAGCCAGCACUUUACCUGCUGAUCCAGCUCCCCUUCCUGGCUAUUGACCUAUUGACUUGUGAGAAUCUUUAGAGUCUGUAUACAAACAAGUACCUUACCUUAGAUAUAUGACUUCCCAACAUUUCCUCUCCAUCCCCUCCUUCUCUUUUCUUUCUAUCCCUUCCUUUCCUUCCCUUCCCUUCUUUUCUCUCUCUCUCUCUCUUUUUUUUUUUUUUUUUUUUUUGAGCUGAGGACCGAACCCAGGACCCCAGGGCCUUGCACUUGCUAGGCAAGCACUCUACCACUGAGCUAAAUCCCCAACCCCUUCUUUUCUUUUCUUUUCUUUUCUUUUCUUUUCUUUUCUUUUCUUUCCUUUCCUUUCCUUUCCUUUCCUUUUCUUUUCUUUUCUUCUGUUUUUGUUUUUCUCUGUGUAUCCUUGGCUGUCCUGGAACUCACUCUGUAGACCAGUCUGUUCUAGAACUCACAGAGAUCCUCUUUCCUCUGCUUCCCGGGUGCUGGGAUUAAAGGUGUGUACCACCAUGGCCAGGAUAUUUCCUCUCUUUUUUAUGAGCUGUUUUAGUUUUGAGAGUAUUCUUUGAAGAACUUCUUUUCUUUUCCUUUUUUAAAAUAAUUUUGACAAUGUUGGGUCUAUGAGAUGGUUUAGCAGAUUUAAGUUCUGAUCCCGAGACCCCAUGGUGUAAGGCGAGAAACAGUAUACAUUCACUCUCACACAAAAAUAAUAAUAAACAAAGAAAAUGUAACAUUGACAAAGCUCAAGUUGUUUAUUUUUUGUCUUGACCCUUGUGCUUUUCUGUAUCUGUUGCUCUUGGUUUUAAUUGUUGCAGUUGUUGGGAGAGAGGGGGGUUGGGUGAGGGAGUUGCAAGAAAGGUGCCAUCACCUCUCUGUUUGCACGUGGAAGGUUAAUGUCAGGUGUCCUCUGUUUUUCUCAACCUUAUUUAUUGAGACAGGAUCUCUCAGUGACCCUGGGGUUUGCUGUCUAGAUGAGAAUGGUUGACCAAUGAGAAUCUGUCUGUCUCUACUGCUCAGUGCUGGGAUUAUAGGUGUCUUCUCAUAGGGUCUUUCCUUUUACAUGAGUUCCAAGCUCAGGUCCUCAGGCCCUCAAAGCAGCACUCUACCCACAAAGCUACCUCCCCAAACCUGUUUUCC